GAUGAAGAACGUAGCGAAAUGCGAUAAGUAAUGUGAAUUGCAGAAUUCAGUGAAUCAUCGAAUCUUUGAACGCACAUUGCGCCCCCUGGUAUUCCGGGGGGCAUGCCUGUUCGAGCGUCAUUUCACCACUCAAGCCUCGCUUGGUAUUGGGCAACGCGGUCCGCCGCGUGCCUCAAAUCGACCGGCUGGGUCUUCUGUCCCCUAAGCGUUGUGGAAACUAUUCGCUAAAGGGUGUUCGGGAGGCUACGCCGUAAAACAACCCCAUUUCUAAGGUUGACCUCGAAUCAGGUAGGAAUACCCGCUGAACUUAAGCAUAUCAAUAAGCGGAGGA
RNAcentral lists this unclassified non-coding RNA (331 nucleotides) under soil metagenome. RNAcentral describes it as "partial contains 5.8S ribosomal RNA, internal transcribed spacer 2, and large subunit ribosomal RNA". The stretch from base 1 to 120 matches the Rfam family "5.8S ribosomal RNA", at positions 35 to 154 of the family's 154-position model. The record is from RNAcentral.